UACGGAGGGGGCUAGCGUUGUUCGGAAUUACUGGGCGUAAAGCGCACGUAGGCGGACUGGAAAGUUAGAGGUGAAAUCCCGGGGCUCAACCCCGGAACUGCCUUUAAAACUCUCAGUCUUGAGUUCGAGAGAGGUGAGUGGAAUUCCGAGUGUAGAGGUGAAAUUCGUAGAUAUUCGGAGGAACACCAGUGGCGAAGGCGGCUCACUGGCUCGAUACUGACGCUGAGGUGCGAAAGCGUGGGGAGCAAACAGG
RNAcentral lists this ribosomal RNA (253 nucleotides) under uncultured Paracoccaceae bacterium. RNAcentral's name for it is "uncultured Rhodobacteraceae bacterium partial 16S ribosomal RNA". It matches the Rfam family "Bacterial small subunit ribosomal RNA", at positions 524 to 776 of the family's 1533-position model. Lineage: Bacteria; Pseudomonadati; Pseudomonadota; Alphaproteobacteria; Rhodobacterales; Paracoccaceae. The record is from RNAcentral.